Long non-coding RNA from Passer domesticus (house sparrow), 359 nucleotides. RefSeq lists it as uncharacterized. NCBI's taxonomy places the organism in Eukaryota, Metazoa, Chordata, Aves, Passeriformes, Passeridae. The transcript is spliced from 3 exons. The record is from RefSeq and is a predicted model, not a curated record.
CCUGUGUCCCUGGCCUGCAGCAAGACCAAAACAGAUGGGGUCCUCAGAUAAAUAAUCUACCAAACUCAAACAAGCCCCCAUGAGGCACAUGCAGAGUGAGGCUUUGUAUAACUUGUAACUUCACUACAGGAGACAGUUGAAUUAUUUUAGCUAAAAAUUACCAGAAGAGUCUGCCUGAGGCAGACAUCCAGCAUGGUAUAUUUGAGGUCGAGCAAGCCAUCACUAAUGGGAAGAGUUAAGCAACUUUAACUCCAGACAGAGCUCACAGGGGGAAAUUAGAAACUGGCUCUGUGGAUGGCCCCACCAGAAAACAUGUAGGGGCUCUAGAGGUGGACUUGCUGUUUUGCAGACCUACCAGG